Molecule: ribosomal RNA, 500 nt
Filed under: uncultured Glomeromycotina
Lineage: Eukaryota; Fungi; Glomeromycota
Description: partial small subunit ribosomal RNA
Rfam family: Eukaryotic small subunit ribosomal RNA
Source: RNAcentral
CCAAUAGCGUAUAUUAAAGUUGUUGCAGUUAAAAAGCUCGUAGUUGAAUUUCGGGGUCAGCAGGUUGGUCGUGCCACUGGUAUGCACUGGCUUCGCUGAUUCCUCCUUUUUGAAGAAAUGUAAUGCCAUUAAUUUGGUGUUGCAGGGAAACAGGACUGUUACUUUGAAAAAAUUAGAGUGUUUAAAGCAGGCUAACGCUUGAAUACAUUAGCAUGGAAUAAUGAAAUAGGACGUUCGAUCCUAUUUUGUUGGUUUCUAGGAUUGACGUAAUGAUUAAUAGGGAUAGUUGGGGGCAUUAGUAUUCAAUUGUCAGAGGUGAAAUUCUUGGAUUUAUUGAAGACUGACUACUGCGAAAGCAUUUGCCAAGGAUGUUUUCAUUAAUCAAGAACGAAAGUUAGGGGAUCUAAGACGAUCAGAUACCGUCGUAGUCUUAACCAUAAACUAUGCCGACUAGGGAUCGGAUGAUGUUAAUUUUUUAAUGACUCAUUCGGCGCCUUACG